RNAcentral lists this ribosomal RNA (476 nucleotides) under uncultured organism. RNAcentral's name for it is "partial 16S ribosomal RNA". It matches the Rfam family "Bacterial small subunit ribosomal RNA", at positions 334 to 801 of the family's 1533-position model. The record is from RNAcentral.
CACUCCUGCGGGAGGCAGCAGUGGGGAAUUUUGGACAAUGGGCGAAAGCCUGAUCCAGCAAUGCCGCGUGAGUGAAGAAGGCCUUCGGGUUGUAAAGCUCUUUUGUCAGGGAAGAAACGGUGAGAGCUAAUAUCUUUUGCUAAUGACGGUACCUGAAGAAUAAGCACCGGCUAACUACGUGCCAGCAGCCGCGGUAAUACGUAGGGUGCAAGCGUUAAUCGGAAUUACUGGGCGUAAAGCGUGCGCAGGCGGUUUUGUAAGUCUGAUGUGAAAUCCCCGGGCGCAACCUGGGAAUUGCAUUGGAGACUGCAAGGCUAGAAUCUGGCAGAGGGGGGUAGAAUUCCACGUGUAGCAGUGAAAUGCGUAGAUAUGUGGAGGAACACCGAUGGCGAAGGCAGCCCCCUGGGUCAAGAUUGACGCUCAUGCACGAAAGCGUGGGGAGCAAACAGGAUUAGAUACCCCAGUAGUCCCAUGAU